GACAGAGGGUGCAAACGUUGUUCGGAAUUACUGGGCGUAAAGCGCGUGUAGGCGGCUAUGCAAGUCGGAUGUGAAAGCCCUCGGCUCAACCGGGGAAGUGCACCCGAAACUGCAAAGCUAGAGUCUCGGAGAGGAUCGUGGAAUUCUCGGUGUAGAGGUGAAAUUCGUAGAUAUCGGGAGGAACACCUGUGGCGAAGGCGGCCAUCUGGACAACUACUGACACUGAGACGCGAAAGCGUGGGUAGCAAACAGG
This 253-nucleotide ribosomal RNA is filed under the name uncultured bacterium. RNAcentral describes it as "partial 16S ribosomal RNA". It matches the Rfam family "Bacterial small subunit ribosomal RNA", at positions 524 to 776 of the family's 1533-position model. The record is from RNAcentral.